This 2272-nucleotide long non-coding RNA is filed under the name Homo sapiens (human). Its description in RNAcentral is "HSALNT0102587". The record is from RNAcentral. Lineage: Eukaryota; Metazoa; Chordata; Mammalia; Primates; Hominidae.
CACCUCUCCACUGAGACUUCAUAUCAGACCACUACGCUGAUAUUAGGGUGAUAGGAGUCAAGAGCAGGAAACAGCAACUGUCCUAGAUAUUUUGGAAAGAAGCAUGUGUGCCAGAGGCUGAGAAAUAAAUCUAACAUUCGCGAGCUUGCCGACUUGGUAACAGAUCUAGUGCUGUGCUGUAAUAUCCUUUCCAAGGUGAAGGAGAAGUUGCUACUUCUGACUACACUAACUACAAAAAAAAAAGAUGAACAUAACACCUAGUGAACCUCUUUGAGAUUUGAAAGCCACAUAUCCCCAUUUUUGGAGUACUAGGAAAGAGUGCGAGUUUCAAGUGGGACUUCAAGCAAGAGAAGGCUUUGUCACAGGUCCGAGUUGCUAUGUAAGCUGCUCUUAAACUUGGGCUGUAUGACCCAGCUGGCUCAAUGAUUCUUGAAAUGUCUGUGGCAGAUAGGUAUGUGUAUGGAACUUUUGUAAAGCACCUAUAGCUGAAGCACUAUAUGGACUUAAUAUUGUAGAACCAAGCCAUGCCAUCUUCUGUAGAUAAUUAUCCUACUUUUGAGAAGCAACAUCUAGACUAGUAGACUGAACAUUUGCCCUUGGAUUCCUGUUUCCCUGUAGCCUUAGAUGCCACAGUGAACUGAGCAUUGUGUGAUCCAUCAAGCCAGAAAGCUGUGUGUACAUAAUAGAGUUCUAUCAUAAAGCUGAAGGGGUAUAUUUAAGACUGGGUCUGAACAGUCACUGAAGGCAUUUAAGUAAGUUGCAUGAGAAAAUAACAGAUUCCCAUGGCUCUUAAUCUUGCUACAUUGCCAUGAUGGUUAAUAUUGAGUAUCAACUUGAUGGAAUUGAAGGAUGCAAAGUGUUGUUCCUGGGUGUGCCUGUGAGAUUGUUGCCAAAGGAGAUUAACAUUUGACUCGGUGGAUUGGGAAAGGCAGACCCACCCUCAAUCUUGAGUGGGCAUAAUCUAAUUGGCUGCUAGUGUGGCCAGAAUAAAAGUAGCAGAAGAAUGUGAAAAGACUAGACUGGCUUAGUCUUCCAGCCUACAUCUUUCUCCCGUGCUGGGUGCUUCCUGCCCUCAAACAUUGGACUCCAAGUUCUUCAGUUUGGGGAAUUGAACUAGCUUCCUUCCUCCUCAGCUUGCAGACAGCCUACUGUGGGACCUCACCUCAUGAUCAUACUCCUUCUACAUCUGUUGUUCAAGGUUCAGACUCAAUAUGCAACUAAUUUAUGAAGCCCGUUUAGACCACAACAACCCUGAUGCAAGAUGUUCUCCACUAUGUUAAGAUGCAGCAUGAAGCCCUUACCAGAAGCUAAGAGUAUUCCGUUAGAGCAACACAAAACAGACUAAGACAACUUGUUCAUUACUGAUGUACAGAUUUCACUGACCAGCAACACUCCAGUGAAACUGCAGUCAAAAUUUAUGGAGUCUGCAGUAAAUAUGAAGCUAAAGUAACAGGCAAUGAAGAGCUCACCUGCUGCCUCCAGGGCUGCUUAACAUGCUGCAACCAGGCUGAAUGGUGCAUAUUGGACUGGAACCUGGAUCCUUGAGUAAAUGAAAGGAGAAAAGCCCCUAUCCAGUAUAUCAGAUUUGUGUAAACCAAAAAAUAAACUUUCAAUAUGCACUCUCCAGGAAAAGCUGCCUGCUAGAUAACAUGAAGACACGCCAGCAGCCUCAUGGGGGUGGAGGGAAGAGAGGCCUCAUGGUGAGGGACUGAGGCCUCCUACUAAAAGCCAGCACUAACUUGUCAGGCAUGAAAGUGAGCCACCUGGAAGCACAUCUUCAGCCCCUGUGGACCCUUUAGAUGACUGCAGGCCCUGCUGACAUCUUGACUGAAACCUCAUGAGACAGCUAGAACCAGAAUCGCCCAGAGAGAAGAACAUCAAAGGUGCGGGUUUAGGGCCCAGAAAGCCACUGGCCCCUUAAUAUCCAGAAAAGGACAAAAACUCACGGGAGUCAAGCACUGUUUGCCUGGAAGAAGAAAGAUAAAGACACAGACAAGCCCUGCUCCCCCACCAGCCAAAACUACUAUUCUACCUGUUUCCUGAUUCUGACCCACGUAUAUUCACUUGUUUCAUCAUUUUCUCAUUCAAAAAUAUAUUCAUUCAAUUAAUAAUGAUUUACUGAGUGUGUAUUAUGUAGCCAGUGCUUGCAUGGAACUCAGAUUACAGCUGGAAAUGAAACAGAUCUGGUCUUACACCCUCUGUACAUCUUCUUCCUCCUGUUACCACUCUAUCCUGUCUUCAACCUCAACUUCACUACUAAUUUCAUACUUAA